RNAcentral lists this long non-coding RNA (1986 nucleotides) under Sus scrofa (pig). RNAcentral describes it as "lncRNA (ENSSSCG00040020207.1)". The record is from RNAcentral. Lineage: Eukaryota; Metazoa; Chordata; Mammalia; Artiodactyla; Suidae.
GCAUAUGGAGGUUCCCAGGCUAGGGGGCGAAUCGGAGCUACAGCUGCCAGACUACACCACAGCCAGUGACUCGGCAUCCGAAGUGUGUCUGCAACCUACACCACAGCCCACAGCAACGCCAGAUCCUUAACCCACUGAGCAAGGCCAGGGAUUGAACCCUGAGUCCUCAUGGAUACUAAUGGAUACUAGUUGGGUUCGUUACUGCUGAGCCAUGAUAGGAACUCCUCUUUUCAUUCUUCUAAUUCAUCUUUCAGUGCCACUGUCCAAGUUGGAGAACACAAACCUGACACAUUUGGUACUUGCUUCCUAUUUAGUGUUUUAUCACAAGGUAUUCUAUGAUACACAGUUUCCAUGAUUAGGCUCCUGGGCACUCCAGGGCAGGAGCCCUGGGCCUGGAAUAAGGCUUGAAUAAAUGAAUACUUUCAAAGGACUGUACCGCAGACCAAUUUCCUAAGAGGGAUUCCCAAAUGCUUUGAGAUACAGCAUGGAAGAACCUUGAGGAUAUUAUGUUACGUGAAAUAAGCCAGUCAAAAAAAGACAAGUAUUAUGCCACCUAUUUGAGGUAUCCAAAAGAGUCAAAUUCGUAGAAAUGGAAAAGGAGAGUGGUGGGUUGCCAGGGGCUAUGGAGGUGGGGUGGGGGGAGCGGAGCUGUUGCUCAGUGAGUUUAAAGUUCCAGUUUUGCAAGAUGAAAAAGUUCUGAGGCUCGGCCUCACAAUAAUAUGCAUACACUUAACACCACUAAAAUGUAUGCUUAAAAACAUGUAAAAGGGUAUAUUGUAUAUGUUUUUACUACCAUAAAAACCCACCAAAACCAACCCAAAAGCUUUAAACAAAAGAAUGUUUUGAAGAGGUUCCCUUAUGGCUCAGUGGGUGAAGGGUCUGGCAUUGACACAGUUGUGGCAUGGGUUCAUCCCUGGCCUGGGAACUUCCUCAUGCUGCAGGUGUGGCAAAAAAAAAAGGUUUUGGAAAAGAGCAACAAUGUUGAAAAGUGCAUUGUUUCUCAUAUGAGCUAUUUGGACUUUGCUGUUGAAGGAAGUUACAUUAUUUUAUUAGAUAUUUUGCACCCCAUCUUAUUAAAUAGAAGAAAACAAAAAUAGGAGUUCCCGCUGUGGCACAGCGGAAAUAAAUCCAACUAGGAACCAUGAGGUUGAGGGUUUGAUCCCUGGCCUCGCUCAGUGGGUUAAGGAUCUGGAUCACUGACCCAGCUUUCCUACCAAGUGGCAGAAUGAGGAACUGGCCCACAUCAUUCAGUCCUCAUGGCUCUACUUCCAUGGCCACCAAAAAAUUCCCGAUUUCUAAUUUCGCAUACAGCUAAAUUACAUCAGGAAGAGGCUGCAAUUAGUAUUGCUGAGACUUGAAAUGGAAAAAAUAUUUUUAAAAAUGUAAAUGUACAUGGCUAGCUAUCUUGAGGUCUGAGCAUAUUCUGGUGAGAUAAAUCUAGAUUCGACGUUAAAAAGUGAGAGCAGAGGAGCUCUCUGGCAGCCUAGAGGUUACGAAUCUGGCAUUGUCAAUGCAGUGGCUCAGCUCACUGCUGAGGCACUGGGUUCGAUCUCUGGCCCAGGAAUUUCCAUGUGCCAUGUGUUUCCCCCCAGCCCCCAAAAAGGUGAAAUCAGAGCUUCCAAACAAAUGGGACAAGAGUGUUAGAGGUACAAUGAGCAGAUGGUCCCCUCAGGCCCCAGAGAUGGCUGGAGCCCCUUUAAUCUACCCACAGCAUUCAUUUACCCUGGCGUGCCAUACAAAUAUUAUACUUUCCUAUGUGUGUUAUGAUAUGAAAAAUGUGGGUGGCAGAGAGUUGACACGACUCUGUGGUAAUGCCACCCCAGGCGGCAUCCUGUGUCACUUAAUACAUCCAAUGGAUUGUACUCAUUAAGUAUAUCAUAAAUAAUGGCUAAAUUCCAUCUUGAUGCAAUUAUAAACUCUUCCUUAUGAAUAAUGAGAAAAAUAUUUUUAUAACUUAUCUAAAUUUUUUUUCUUUGCUUUUUAGUG